AGUGUAAGCGAACAAGAGGGAGCUGCGGACUGCUCAGUAACAGGCGAUUAAUUUGAUCUCUACAAACGGACAAACUCAGGAAACGGAGUGUAAUACGUAAGAUAAGAAUCUUUCAAUAAAAAGGAUUCUUUUUUAGUUUGAAAAAACGGUAGAGAAUAAGACGCCAGCCUAUCAGUUAGUAAGUAGGGUAAGGGCCUAUUUAGACGAAGACGGGUACGGGGAAUUAGGGUUUGAUUCCGGAGAGGGAGCCUGAGAGACGGCUACCAGGUCCAAGGACGGCAGCAGGCGCGAAAAUUACCGAAGCUCGAAACGAGGCGGUAGUAAAGAGACGUAAUAAAUUAAUACAAGGGUAAAAAACUUGUUAAUAACUGGAGGUCAAGUCUGGUGCCAGCAUCCGCGGUAAUACCAGCUCCAGGGGUGUCUAUGAUGAUUGCUGCGAUUAAAAGGUCCGUAGUCGAAUUUAGAUAAUUGUUUGUAAUAUGUUUGUUAAAAGGAUAGAGAGAACAAUUACCUAAAUGAAAGGAAUAGCAAGGGGCUAGUUAAUCGAGUAACGAGAGGUGAAAUUUGAUGACUUACUCGGGAGAAACAGAGGCGAAAGCGCUAGUCAAGUGUAAAUCCUAUGAUCAAGGACGUAGGCUGGAGUAUCGAACACGAUUAGAUACCGUAGUAGUUCCAGCAGUAAACUAUGCCUACGCCACCGAAUGAAAGUUUGGUGGACGAGAAAUCAAGAGUAGGGCUUUGGGGAGAGUACACGCGCAAGCGAUAAAUUUAAAGGAAAUUGACGGAAGAACACCACAAGGAGUGGAGUGUGCGGCUUAAUUUGACUCAACGCGGGACAGCUUACCAGACCCGAGGACCAUACGAGUGAAUACACGAUAGGUUUAAGAGUGGUGCAUGGCCGUUAUCGACGAGUGAAGUGAUUUUAUGGUUAAAUCCGACAAGUCGUGAGACCCUAAAAUAAUACAGGUAUGAAAAUACAGGAAGGAUAGGACAAGAACAGGUCAGUGAUGCCCUUAGAUGGUUUGGGCUGCACGCGCACUACAGUGGUUAUAAUAAAAAAUAUGUUAAAUUAGUAUAUAAAUAUAAUCGAGAGGGAUUGAGCACUGCAAAGUGCCCAUGAACGAGGAAUUGCUAGUAAUCGUAGGCUCAGUAAGAUACGAUGAAUAUGUCCCUGUUCUUUGUACACACCGCCCGUCGUUAUCGAAGAUGGAGUUUUGCCCAAACGAGCUUUAGCGAGUGAGUGUAUGAUUCUAGAUCUGAUACAAGUCGUAACAAGGCAGCUGUAGGAGAACCUGUAGCUGGAUCAAAUGAUAUAAAAAAUAAUAUAAAAGGAAAGAAAAAUAGUGCAAAGGAGCGUUAGGUUCUAGUUGACGAAGAAGGGCGAUAAAGAAAUCGAAAACUACAUGAACAUUGGUAAUGAUUGUAGGUACCCGAAUAAUAAAACUUUGUAAGGCAACCCCUCGGAUUAAAGCAUUUGAGUAGAGGGAGGAAAAGAAACUAACUAGGAUUCCUGUAGUAGCGGCGAGUGAACAAGGAAAAGCUCAAAGUAUAAUUCUAAUAUUAAUAAAUAUAUAGAAAUUGUCAAAAUAAUUUUAUAUAAAAUCGAGAAACGGAUGAAAAGUCGUACCUAAGAAAGUUAUAGUCUUGUAAUGAUUUAAAAAAAUUAUAUAUGAAGAGUAAUUGUGUUUGGUAGUACACAAUGAAUAUUGGUGGCAUGGACCAUCAAAAGCUAAAUACAACUAGAAACCGAUAGCGAAUAAGUAGGAUGCCCGAA
Molecule: ribosomal RNA, 1774 nt
Filed under: Microsporidium sp. MSCLHCY01
Lineage: Eukaryota; Fungi; Microsporidia
Description: SSU rRNA
Rfam family: Microsporidia small subunit ribosomal RNA (bases 1-1309)
Source: RNAcentral